RNAcentral lists this ribosomal RNA (458 nucleotides) under Magnaporthaceae sp. S10-2-1. RNAcentral describes it as "eukaryotic LSU rRNA". The stretch from base 108 to 261 matches the Rfam family "5.8S ribosomal RNA". The record is from RNAcentral. Lineage: Eukaryota; Fungi; Ascomycota; Sordariomycetes; Magnaporthales; Magnaporthaceae.
AACUCCAUCCCUGUGAACUUACCUUUUGUUGCUUCGGCUCCUUCGGGGGCCGGAGGUUCCAAACUCUUAAUUUUUUAGUAUCUCUGAGCCUAAAAACAAAUAAUCAAAACUUUCAACAACGGAUCUCUUGGUUCUGGCAUCGAUGAAGAACGCAGCGAAAUGCGAUAAGUAAUGUGAAUUGCAGAAUUCAGUGAAUCAUCGAAUCUUUGAACGCACAUUGCGCCCGCCGGUAUUCCGGCGGGCAUGCCUGUUCGAGCGUCAUUUCACCACUCAAGCUUGCUUGGUGUUGGAGCACUUGGUAACCCAAGGCUCCCAAGAUCAUCGGCGGUCUCGCUAGACCCUGAGCGCAGUAAUUUCUCUCGCUUGGAAGUCUGACGGGCUCUUGCCGUUAAACCCUUUUUCUAAGGUUGACCUCGGAUCAGGUAGGAAUACCCGCUGAACUUAAGCAUAUCAAUAAG